Molecule: long non-coding RNA, 1191 nt
Organism: Xenopus laevis (African clawed frog)
Lineage: Eukaryota; Metazoa; Chordata; Amphibia; Anura; Pipidae
Exons: 2
Source: RefSeq, a predicted model, not a curated record
AGGUGGACAGGGGUGACUUGACAGUUUGAGGGCAGAUAACACACCAUGUGCCAUUAACCUUCAGGUACUUGGAUAUUGUAUAAACUGUAUCAGAAUGUUAAAGUUGGGAUUUAAAGACAGUUUGUGAGUCAUUUCUCUUUAGCACCUGGCUGUGACUCUUUCAGCCUUGCACCUUUUGCUGACAUCCAGAUAGCCAUGUGUCAUUGUUUGUCAAGAGUUAUAAGAGUUCGCCAUAGAGCUUUGUUACACACAGAAAAUUAUCUUCUCAAAAAGGUUUGCAUGGAUGGCUCAGAUAUGACAAUCUCAAGGGCUGAGUUAAGUGAGAUUUGUGCUUGCUGCUUUUCACAGACAUUUAUGAGACUGUUCAUCCAUACAAGGCGGACUCAAAGGCGCAAGGACUUGUUGGAAAUCGGUGACAGGUGACAAGUUAGAGAGGGUUGUUUAUGAAAAUUUACUGGCCACAAUGACGGAAUCUUGACGUUUUCAGUCAAAGAGAGGAUCAUGACACCGUGCAAUCCAAUACAAAAACAAUUUGCAAUAUUUUUGGGUAAAAAAACUCGAAACAUUCUAUGCCAUCUCUGUCAUUACAAGUUGUGCCUGGAAAUCAAAUAAGUGUUGUGUAUCUCAACUUCCUGAAAGGAAAAUGAGCUUUGCCCAGGAUGUGUAUGGGGUGACGAGGCAGCAGCACGUUCUUACGGCAGGAUCCCUUUUUCUUUUCACAUGGAGCAAGUAAUCUAUCAACCAGUUCUGUCAUAUUUCUUUGAAAAGACUGCAGAAGAAAGGUUACCAUGGCAACUAUAUUUGUAAAUUCACUGCAAAAGAGAUUCAGCAUCUGAACAACCUACAUGCCAAGGCCUCUUGUCUAAGGGGACAAACUUCUUCAGUUUGACAAAAAAAAGAGAAAAAAAAUUGCCUUUCUGCAGCGAUCAUUUUUAUACCACAGCUGAGAUACGGAGAAUGGAGAAAACAUCUUGACAUACAACCUCGUUUACUCAGCACAAGUGGACGUGUGAUUUAGAGAGAAACUGAAAAGGAAAAGAUAUGCGCGUGUAAAAGAUACCUGCUUAUAUCUAAUUAGUGUGCAUUAAGGUCAAGUUUAAUAAAGUCACUGCAUAGAAAAAAAACCCCAGAAAACAUAAUCUGUUUUGUACGAUAGGACUCAUUGACAAAAUGAUAGGACUCAAGUACAAA